UACGUACUGGGCGAACGUUAUUCGGAAUCACUGGGCUUAAAGGGUGCGUAGGCGGCUUCUCAGGUCCGGUGUGAAAUCUUACGGCUCAACCGUAAAAUGGCGCUGGAAACCGGGAGGCUUGAGUGUGCUAGGGGUGUGUGGAACUUCCAGUGGAGCGGUGAAAUGUGUUGAUAUUGGAAGGAACGCCGGUGGCGAAAGCGACACACUGGGGCAUAACUGACGCUGAGGCACGAAAGCUAGGGGAGCGAACGGG
This 253-nucleotide ribosomal RNA is filed under the name uncultured bacterium. Its description in RNAcentral is "partial 16S ribosomal RNA". It matches the Rfam family "Bacterial small subunit ribosomal RNA", at positions 524 to 776 of the family's 1533-position model. The record is from RNAcentral.